This 303-nucleotide ribosomal RNA is filed under the name uncultured bacterium. Its description in RNAcentral is "partial 16S ribosomal RNA". It matches the Rfam family "Bacterial small subunit ribosomal RNA", at positions 507 to 807 of the family's 1533-position model. The record is from RNAcentral.
AGCAGCCGCCGCGGGAAUACGUAGGGCGCAAGCGUUAUCCGGAAUUAUUGGGUUUAAAGGGUCCGUAGGCGGUCUUGUAAGUCAGUGGUGAAAGCCCAUCGCUCAACGGUGGAACGGCCAUUGAUACUGCAGGACUUGAAUUAUUGGGAAGUAACUAGAAUAUGUAGUGUAGCGGUGAAAUGCUUAGAGAUUACAUGGAAUACCAAUUGCGAAGGCAGGUUACUACCAAUUGAUUGACGCUGAUGGACGAAAGCGUGGGUAGCGAACAGGAUUAGAUACCCCGGUAGUCCCUGUCUCUUAUAC